CAGCAGCCGCGGUAAUACAGAGGGUGCGAGCGUUAAUCGGAUUUACUGGGCGUAAAGCGUGCGUAGGCGGCUUUUUAAGUCGGAUGUGAAAUCCCUGAGCUUAACUUAGGAAUUGCAUUCAAUACUGGGAAGCUAGAGUAUGGGAGAGGAUGGUAGAAUUCCAGGUGUAGCGGUGAAAUGCGUAGAGAUCUGGAGGAAUACCGAUGGCGAAGGCAGCCAUCUGGCCUAAUACUGACGCUGAGGUACGAAAGCAUGGGGAGCAAACAGGAUUAGAUACCCCCGUAGUCCCUGUCUCUUAUAC
Molecule: ribosomal RNA, 301 nt
Filed under: uncultured bacterium
Lineage: Bacteria
Description: partial 16S ribosomal RNA
Rfam family: Bacterial small subunit ribosomal RNA
Source: RNAcentral